UCCAAAAGGGUAUUUACACCAAUCUGUUAUUCGAAUUAUUUGAAUUGUAAAACUCAACUCGAUUCGAACUCAAACUCGAAUAAUUCGGAUAACUCAAAUAACCCAAUUCGAUUAACUCAAAAUUCAAAUUUUUUCGAUUUUUUCAAAUCGAAUCGAGUUUUGCUCAUCCCUAUUUAUAUGGAUUCAAACUAGGUAUCAAAUUUAAUAUUUGAAAAACUAUUUAAGAAAAGAAAGGAUGUUUUUGCAUUUAUAUAGGUUUGAACUAGGACCAAUUUUAAAGUUUAAAAUUAUUGUUUUCAUUGUACAGGCCAAUUUUGGGCUAAACCCAAAACCCAACUAACCUAGCCCAAUACCCUAAACUACCUGAGCCCAAAUUUUAAAACCCUAACAGCCCAUCUGCUUAAAAGAUUUCAGCAGCAAGCCCUAGCUCCCACCUUGUCAGCCGCCGCUUCCCACCAUCGGCCAACCAUUGGCUACCUUGCGCACUACCCCCUCGUCCACCGCGCCCACUACCUGUAACAGAGACAGAAACAACAGCAAAAGGAAGCAUGCGAGGAAUGGGGGCAAAGAAUAAACAAAACAGAAACAAAAAAAAAGGAGAAAUGAAUGUCUAUGGAUCGGCUUUAAAAAGCCAAAAUGAAGGAUGAGAAAAGAGGGCCUUUUUUUUCUUUUCUCUUUACCGAGCAGUGUAAAAUUCGAAAAAUCUCAAAAAAAAUUUCAACAACCAAUAUACGAAAGCUAAAACCUCAUAAGUAGCAUAGAUCAAACAUCAAAAAGGAGAUUUAAACGUCCUAAAAUCGGAAACGUUACUAGCAAAUAGGGAAAGAAGAAGAGAACAACGGCAAAGUCAAGGUUCCUAAUAUUUUUUCAUUUCUUUUUAUUUUCAGAUUUACAUUCACCUAUAUAUGCAUAUAUAAUAAAAUACACAAAAAAAAAGGAAUUUUUACCAAAGGCGAUUUCCGGCCACCGUGUACGGUGGCCGGCGCGGUGGAGCUACGACGGCGUGCGGUGGCUCUCCUGGCCGGUUUCUAGGCAUCCCUAGAGAGAAAAAUCCCUUUCUCCCUUUUUUUUUUCCUAAGACUCAGCUGAAAUGAAAAUAAGAAAGGAAAUUUAACUUAUAUACUGUUAAUAAAACGGCAACGUUUUGGCGAAAAUGACCCAGGGCAUAAAACGACGUCGUUUUGCCUUGGGUCGGACUGACCCGACCCGACCCAGGAGGAGGAUCCGCGUGUUUUUGCGAAAGGGUCUAAUUGCGCGAAUGACCCUUCCGCUUUUCUAAACUUUUGCGAUCAGGUUUUCAUUCUUUUUAAAUUUGGCAUAAAAUUCAAGCGCAUUUUUUAUUUCGAUCCCCACUAAACGCUGCGUUUCGAAAGGACAGGAUAUUUGCACUUUUAAUCCUUCCCGUGUUUUAGCGUGUUCCAAUUGGUCCUUCUCUUUUAUAUAUUUCUUUUAAAAUUCCCCCUAGCCUUUUUUUUAUUUCGAUUUUCAUCCCUUUUACUUCUCAUCAUUAUUUAUUUUAAUUUCAAUAUUAUUCAUACUAAUAUAUCCUAUUAACGUUACUAUUAUUAUAUUUUUAGUAUUUUAUUGUUGUUAUUCUACUUAAUACUAACCUGUAUAUGUUAUGUAGUAUUAUUAAGGGUUUAAUAUCAUUAUUUUGUUAGUAUAUUUGUAUAUCACCAAUGCAUUCUUUAAAUAUAUAUACAUUUACGCGUAUAUCCUAAAAUUAUAUUACACAUAUUUGUUUUAUAUAUAUUUAUCUACCUAUAUUAUGUCUCUAUUUUAAUAUAUUUUACAUAUAGUAGUUAGAUAUAGUUCUUAUACAUUUCCAUGUACAUAUUUCUAUACCAUCUUAUGUAUACAUUUACCUAUGUUUUCGUAUUUAUGAAUAUAUCUUUAAUACAUAUAAGUAUAUAUUUAUUAUUAAUAGAUGUUUUCAACAUUAUUAUUAUAUAUAUUAUGUGAAUAUUUUAACAUUACAUUAUAUAUGUAUUUAUAUAUAUUACGCAUAUAUAUAUACCCUUCUUUUUAAUAUUAUAUUUUUUACAUAUAUAUGUAGAUAUACGUACUUAUACCUACUUAAAUAUAUUUUUUCACAUUUCAUAAUUCUUAUAUACUUACAUAUAUUUAUGCAUAUUUUACAUCAUAUACAUACUUAUAUUUUAUACUCUUAAAAAUGUUUUUUGUAUAUUUCACAUAUUUUAUAAUCCACAUACAUAUAUUCUAUAUUAUCACGAUUUGUAAAUAUAUAAAUACACAUUUACAUUUUUUAUAAUAUUUACCGAUUUUAUAUAUGUACAUACUUAUCUAUGUUUUCAUAUUCUGUAAUUUAUACAUAUUUCUUAUUUUAUGGUUUUAAAUUAUACAUGCACAUAUAUAUAUUUUACAUAAUUGUAUUCAUUGUCAUCAUUGUUAUUUGGUGUUUGUUUAUUUAUCCAUGUACACUUGUGCUUUUUCUAAAACGUUAGUUCUAUUUAUUUAUUUGUAUGCUUUGUUUAUGUAAUCGCCUCGUCAUUUCAUUUUGCCUAUUGUAUUGUUGUUACUCACUUUACUUUGCUUACCUUGUCGUAUUCGUUAUUAUUUCGUCAAGCAUUAACACCAAACAUCAAAAGGAAAAUUUUUCUAAAUAAGGCAAUAUUUCGCGUUUGGAAAUUCGGGAAAACGUGCCCUAACGUGCUGGGUUUCGAUUUCUCGUUUGACUAAAUAGCCAAAUAUCCUCUUAAAGCUUCAAAGUAUGGUUUCAUUAAACUAUAAGGUGAUCUUGGUUUCGAUGGUUUAGAGUAUCGUAUCCUAACGUGCUGGAUGUGAUAUUCAUUCGGAACAAGAGAGUCUUAUAUUUCAAUUCACGUUAUCAGAGUUUCUUUUAAGGAUCGUAUUUUUAAAAUUCUUUUCGAAUUUUUAAUUUUCGACACCAAGACAUUAAGUAAUCAACUAGGUACCAAUUUUGGGCGUAUCGAGGGUGCUAACCCUUCCUCGUGCGUAACCGACUCCCGAACCCAUUUUUCUGAAUUUCGCAGACCAAAAUCGUUGUUUUAAUAAAAAUUGAAUUGUUUAUUGAAAACAACCACUUUUCGAGGUGACCCGAUCACACCUCAUCAAAAAAGGAUUGGUGGCGACUCCCGUUUUCAUUCUUUUUUUAAAAUCCAAGUCGACCCCGUUUUCAUCCAAAAAAAAGGUGUCAACAGUUUGGCGACUCCACUGGGGACAAUAAGAGAGUCAAGCCAUGUGUUGAUUAUUUCUUGUCUUUUUGUUGAAAGUGGAAAAUUCGAUUUAAAUUUACGAUCCUCUCAUUGCAUCUCUUCUGUUUUGAGUUAUUUUUUUAUCGUGUUCUGUAUUUUAUUUUAUACCUCCGCACAUUCCAUUGCAUGACCGUUGGUCACACCUUUUAAGUGGGAGUGAGAAACUACGCCUUCGUGAGGUUUUCACCUCCGCAUGGGAUAGUGAAUCGCUUCCGGGAUACAUCCGUACCUAUGUCUUCGUGAGAUUUUCAUCUCCGCAUGGCCAUAGGGAAAUGUAUUCCCCUGAACUGAACUCGGUCCAUAUGAGCCUAUAAUGGGUGAGGAUCGAGGAAUCUGCUGGUUCAGGUACCCUCACUUUAGAACCAAACCACACAUAGCGAGCCAUAAGAACCCACCGAGAUAGAGCUAUUCUAGACCCUAGUGCUUACCGAAUAGAUGCUUUAUUUAUUAUUGUUUAUUUUAAAUCCUAGAUCUAAUUUGCUUUGUUUGUGAUUGCAUGGCAUUUUCAUUUCAAAAGAGGUGUCGAUUCACGUUCAGUAUAGAUAGAAAGCUUAUAAUGGAAAAGAGGUUUCUUGAUAAAGUAGAAGACAAUGCAGCUGUACGAUUAUGGGCUGAGACGAUGUGGAGAGAGAAAGGCGAUAGUCUUGCAGAAGGGUACGUAUCAGAGUUAUGGGACUUCACCCGUAUCAGCGUAGUCCAAAAUGAUCUGCGAGAAAUGAAGGAAAUAUGGGAUCAAUGGGACGAUGGGACCAAGCAGAUGUUUUACUGUGAUUACGGGGACUUGCCUCACCUACUUGGUGUCAAAGUGGACAAGCAUUUAUUCCGAGCCCUAGCCCAGUUUUGGAAUCCUGCUUACAGUUGUUUCACUUUUGGAAAAGUGGACUUGGUGCCCACCGUGGAAGAAUAUACGACCUUGCUUCGGUGUCCAAAGAUUCAAAUUGACAAGGCCUAUUCUAGAGCUACUAGUGUCCCGACAUUAUUAAAAAAAUUGAUGAGCAUUACAGGGAUGAGCGAACAGUGGGUCGCUGCCCGGAUCCAACAGAAAGGAGACAGUAAAUGCGUUCCUUGGAAAAGCUUGCGAGAUCUAGUAUUAGCACACCCUGAUGUGAAGAAAAGAGUGGAUGUCUUCGCUCUAGGUAUCUAUGGAUUGGUAAUUUUCCCUAGAGCUUUAGGGCACGUAGAUGAGGCCGUCUCUGAUUUGUUCGAUCGGCUUAGCAAAGGAGUCACGCCCAUCCCGGCAAUCUUAGCAGAAACCUUCAGAUCUCUAAGCGCAUGUCGAAGAGCAGGGGAGGGAAGGUUCAUCGGAUGCGCACAGCUACUGUUGGUGUGGUUCCAUAGUCACUUUUGGAAGCUGGAAAAUGUCUCUUAUCGAGUCUUCUCAGAAGGUUAUUCCCCGUUGAAGGAACAAGUUGCUACACCAAGACGAGACGACAUCACGGAAGAGAAGUGGAUGGUGAUUCUCCAAAAUCUUCAGGAGGAUGACGUUGAAUGGAAAGCUCCUUGGAUGGUACCCGACGAGAUCCUGUAUCGAUAUGGUGAUUUCGACUGGGUCCCUUUACUCGGAAUUUGGGGAGCUAUCGGUUAUGCCCCUUUACUCGUAUUAAGACAAUAUAGAUCGAGACAGUUCAUACCAGCAACACAAGGGUUGGCUCAAUGUGAGUUUUCUUAUAAAGAUGAAAACUACAAGAGAAAAGCUCGAGAAAUAUCUAACGCUUGGAAACAGGUUCACCGAAUGAAAAGAUUUACCAUAGGAGCGAUGGCAACUUCAGAAUAUUAUGGGUGGUGGAGUAAAAGAGUCAAUGACAACAUCCCUAAGCCGAGGGAAGAUUGCGUUCAGUCUAUAGAAGAGCAUCUACAAGUAGUUCCGUCAGAAUUAGAGAUCAUCAAACGAGACUUUGAGAAAAGAAAUUCUGAGUUGGGAAAGAGGAUAGAACAGUUAGAAGAAGAAAGAGUGCAUUUGGGAUUAGACAUCGAUAUCCACAAGCUAGAAGCCGAGAAAUUAAGGAAGGGAAAGAACAAAGCUGAAGAGGAUUUGGAUAGACUAAAAACAGAUUACAAGAAGCUGCGAUUGUCGAUGAGAACUGUCGGUCUGGGCAAAACGUCAGAGCAGUGGUGACAAGAGAUCAAUGAGGAAAAGAAUAGGGCCGAUCAGUGGGAAAAGAAAUUUCAAGAUGCUCGAGCUCGAGAAAACGCUUUGGAAAGGAGUUUGUUAGAGUGCCGAAAUGAGAAGGCAGGAUUAAAGGCUAAGGCGACAGAGCUAGAAAAGUCACUUCACUCGUACCAUAGUCGCAAAUCCAUGAUCGAAUUAAGAGCAAGCUUAAAUAAGAUCGAAGAACUGAAGGAAAAGGUAGAGGAGCUUGAGGACGCAUUACACAAUUCUGAGCUACGAAUGGAGCUUCUUGAGAGGAGUAAUGAUCAAUGGCAAGAGCAAUUCCAUCAUUCUCAAAGGCAGAUUAGAGACAGAGAUUACGUUAUGGGCGAAACUGUGACUCAAGUGCGGGAAGUGGCUGAUCAUCUGCAAACAUUAGCAGUUCAGGCCGAUGUAUUGAGUUUAAAAUAUGAGUCAGAAUCAAGCCGAGGUCGAGAUUUAGCUUGGCUUCUUAGGAAGGUUAAGGCCUUGGGUAUAAGGGCGAGGCCGUAUAUGUAAUUUAUUUUAUGUAAAGAAAUUUGCUUUCUAGUUGAGUUUUCUAAUGAAAUUGAAUUCGAAUCAAUGCCUCUUUUUGCAUUCAUCUCAUACAUUUGCAUUACAUCAUAUGCAGUAAGUUUCAUAAAAUGACCCUAAUAAAAUUAAAAUUAUGACAGUUACCCUGGAAACCAACAAAAAUCUAAUCAAAUAUCACUACGGUACUCGUCGCCAAACAAAAGUAAUGGAUCAAAGGUUGGAAAGAUUGGAACAGUUGCAACGAGAGAUGCAAGAUCAGAUGCAUGAACGACUGGAAAAAAUCCAGCAGGACAUGUUAGAAUCCCAGAACACUGUGAUGAACCAAUUAAAGCAGUUAUUGGCUGGAGGAAACAACAAAGGAAAAGAUCCCGUAGUCGAUGCGGGGGAAGAUCACGAUGACCCUAUUUAUCCUCCAGGUUUCACCCCAACUAACAUCCAAGCACAACCAGAGGUGCACCCACAGAAGGUACCGGUUACCAUUAGACCUCAAUAUCUGGCUAGUGCCUCGGUACCAGUGCAUUUUCAAAUGGGCUCGGGUUCUAAUCCCGGGGAUAAUCCCACUAAUCCUGUGGUCCCGGACCUCGAUGACGUGGUAGAAACAGAAAAAACAAGAAUGAACCUGCCAAAACAGCUGGAGGACCGAUGUAGAUGGUUAGAGGAAAAAUUUAGAGUCAUGGAGAACAUCGACUAUCAUCGCGGGGUUGACGCCAAGGAUCUGAGUUUGGUCCCUGAUUUAGUACUCCCACCUAAGUUCAAAAUGCCGGAAUUCGAAAAAUAUAACGGGACUAGUUGUCCUGAAGCUCAUAUAACUAUGUUCUGUCGAAGAAUGACAGGAUACGUCAACAAUGAUCAGCUGUUAAUCCACUGCUUCCAGGACAGUUUGAUCGGAUCUGCAGCCAAAUGGUACAACCAACUGAGUCGUGCUAAAGUUAGUUCAUGGAGAGACUUGGCGCAAGCUUUUAUGAAGCAAUACAGUCAUGUAACGGAUAUAACACCCGAUCGAAUUACGUUACAAAACAUGGAGAAAAAGCCUAGCGAGAAUUUCAGGCAGUACGCCCAACGAUGGAGAGAAGUGGCAACACAAGUCCAGCCGCCCCUUUUGGAAAAAGAGGUCACCAUGUUGUUUAUCAACACUUUGAAAGCCCCGUUCAUCAACCACAUGUUGGGGAGUGCUACCAAGAGCUUCUCGGAUAUGGUAAUGUCCGGUGAAAUGAUUGAGAAUGCGAUAAGGAGCGGUAAGAUUGACACGGGGGAAAACUUCAAAAGACCAGCCCCAAGGAAAAAAGAGGGCGAAGUAAACAACGUAAGCACAUAUAGCAAGAGCCAUUCAAAACCGAUUACUGUUGGCCCUCCAAAAAUGAUAACCACUAGUCACCAAGCCCCCUCGAGGCAGGAACCCAACACAAGGCCCAACACAAGGACUAACACAGAGAGACUUCAGUUCACGCCCAUUCCAAUAACAUACGGGGAACUGUAUCAGAAGUUAUUUGAUGCACACAUAGUAUCUCCAUUUUAUCUCGAGCCCAUGCAACCUCCAUAUCCCAAAUGGUAUGACACGAAUGCCCAAUGUGAAUACCAUGCAGGGAUACCAGGACACUCAAUUGAGAACUGUACUAGGUUUAAAAAGGCAGUGGAAAGGUUCAUUAAGAUGGGGAUUGUGAAGUUUGACGACCCAUUAGGACCCAACGUAGCAGCGAAUCCGUUACCCAACCAUGCUGAUAAAGGGGUAAACGCAAUAAUCGAAGGUGAGAAAAAGAGAAUCAAAACCGACAUUGCAGAGAUAAAAACCCCAUUGAGUUGGGUCUGGAGACAAAUGAUAGAAGGAGGUCUCAUCAAACAAGGUUCAAAAGAAAGGCCCGAAGGAACGAAGACGUACUGCGAGUUUCAUGCUGAAGAAGACCAUGACAUUCAAAACUGCACUGAAUUCAAGGCCAUGGUGCAAAAUCUGAUGAACAACAAAGAGCUAGAAUUUUAUGAAGAGAUCAAAGGACUUAAAAAUGGAGAAGUUUAUGCCUCGGAGGAGGGGCCUACGGGAAAGGCCCCAAAUCACCCAGUGGUAAUUAUUUCAAGGCCAACGAGUAUAGGAUCUGGAAUACAACUGGCGCCAAGGGUCAUAAUCCAAAAACCUGUAGCCUUUCCUUACAAGGAUAGCAAAAAGGUUCCUUGGAAUUACGACUGCAAUGUGAUGAUCACGGGAGAGGAGAACCCGAUAAAUGCUUCAGAAGAGGCUAAUGACGCAGGUUUCUAUACGCGUAGUGGAAAACGUUACGACCUGGGAAAUACAAAAAGGGAACUUAUAAAAGGAAAAGCCUUGGCGGUUGAACAAAAUAAAACGAAGACGACCGGAAUUAAACCGCAAAUUAACACACCGGUGACCGAAAACGAGGCUAGAGAAUUCCUAAAAUUCUUGAAGCAUAGCGAGUAUAGCGUGGUGGAACAAUUGCAUAAGCAACCCGCUCGCAUUUCAGUGCUCGAGUUACUUCUAAGUUCAGAGAUACAUCGUAAUGCGUUGGUAAAAGUGCUAAAUGAGACCUAUGUCGCUAAAGAUAUCUCAGUGAACAAAUUGGAUCGCCUGGUUAAUAAUAUAAAUGCCGAUAAUUUCAUCUUCUUCAAUGAUGAUGAGAUCCCGCCAGGUGGUAUGGGAUCUACCAAGGCCUUGCACAUCACUGCCCGUUGCAAGGGGUGUAUACUACCGGCAGUACUCGUGGACAAUGGAUCGGCCCUGAAUGUUUUACCCCUGUCCACAUUAAACAGGUUACCUGUGGAUAGUUCUCACAUGAAAUCAUGUCAAAAUAUAGUGAGAGCAUUUGAUGGCACUGAGAGAAAAGUGAUGGGGAGAAUCGAGAUACCUCUAUUGAUUGGUCCAAAUACAUACGAGGUGGACUUUUUGGUAAUGGAUAUUAAACCAUCUUACAAUUGCCUAUUGGGGAGGCCUUGGAUCCAUUCUGCAGGAGCUGUACCAUCGUCACUUCAUCAAAAGUUAAAGUUGGUGAUAGAAGGUAGAUUGGUGACUAUAGGUGCAGAAGAAGACAUCAUUGCAUCAGUCACCGAUGAUAUGCCAUACAUAGAGGCUGAUAGUGAAGCGAUAGAAUGUUCAUUCCGAUCAUUGGAAUUCGUAAAUGCCACAUUUGUCAUCGAGAUGAGCAAAAUCCCAGAACCUAAGAUAUCCAAAGCUACGUCAAUGAGCUUACAGCUAACGAUGAGAAAGAGAGCAUUGCCUGGAAGAGGAUUGGGAAAAUACCUCCAGGGGAGGGUUGGAGUACCGAUCCCAGUUAACAAACAGGAUCGUUAUGGUUUGGGAUAUAAGCCUAAUGCGAGGGAAAGGAGGAAGGAGAUGGAGAAAAAGCAAGAAAGGAGAAGAGCACAUUUGGGCGGGAUAGAAGCCAAGUGGGGACCGAUAACCUUUACUCUUAUAUCUAAGACCUUUGUUUCAGGGGGAAUUGUCCACCCUGAAGAGAAGGAUGAGGUUACAGAAGGAAGGAUUGAGAGGUUGGACAUCAAUGCCAUAUCCGCGGAAGAAAGGGUGGAAAGGAAUUUAUCGGGCAUUCGUCCUUACGAACCUGGAAGUGUUCUGAAUAACUGGACUGCAGAAGAGAUCCCUGUAACAUUUAGAACUAAUUCAGAGUAAUAUUCAGAACACUUGUUGCCCUAAGCCUGGGGGUGAUAAGAAUCUUUUGUAAAAGGCACAUGUCCAAAAUCUAAUUUCAGUGAAAACUUAUCAUUCAGUUUCAUCUUGAGCAAAUAUUCUUUCAUUCUUUUCAUUCCCUUUAUAAUCAUACUAUGCAUACAAGUAUUCUUAGAUUCUUUUAUUUGGGCCUCCAUUUGUUCCAAUAACAGGUCUUCAGAUAUCAACGAGAUGAACGACUCUGUUACUAAUUCAGAGUCUCUAUUUGAGCAAGACAUAAGUAUAGAUGAUCUUCAAGAUUUUGAAGGUGGCCAAGACAGCGUUUUAUCUCCGGAUUUGUUAAGAAUGAUGGAAGAAAAAGAAAAACAAAUUCUACCCUAUAAGGAAUCAGUAGAAGUUGUGAUCUUAGAAGAGGGCAGAGAGGUAAAAAUUGGCGCUUGUAUUGCCAAGGAAACAAGGCAAGACCUUGUUGAGUUGCUUCGAGAGUUUAAAGAUGUCUUCGCGUGGUCCUACCAAGAUAUGCCAGGGUUAAGUACUGAUAUCGUGGUACACCGAUUGCCUAUAAAGGAAGAAUGCAAACCAGUCCAACAAAAGCUCCGAAGGAUGAGGCCUGACGUCUUGCUAAAAAUAAAGGAAGAAGUUAAGAAGUAAUUUGAUGCUGGUUUCUCACAGGUGGUCAAGUACUCAGAAUGGGUAGCCAAUAUAGUCCCUGUUCCUAAGAAAGAUGGGAAGGUGCGAAUGUGUGUGGACUACAGAGACUUGAACAAAGCCAGCCCAAAAGAUAAUUUCCCACUGCCUCAUAUCGAUACCUUGGUAGACAACACGGCCGGAUACUCACUGUUCUCUUUCAUGGAUGGUUUCUCCGGGUACAACCAAAUUAAGAUGCUUUCUGAAGACAAGGAAAAGACCACAUUCAUAACGAUGUGGGGGACGUUUUGUUAUAAAGUGAUGCCUUUUGGAUUGAAAAAUGCGGGAGCAACAUAUCAGAGAGCCAUGGUAGCAUUAUUCCAUGAUAUGAUGCAUAAAGAGAUAGAAGUUUAUGUUGAUGACAUGAUCGCAAAAUCCAGAACAGAAAAGGAACACGUGCAAGUUCUGAGAAAACUGUUUCUGAGGUUAAGGAAGUUCCAGCUAAAACUUAACCCAGCCAAGUGUACUUUCGGGGCUAGAUCAGGAAAACUGCUAGGAUUCUUAGUCAGCGAAAAGGGAAUUGAAAUUGACCCAGACAAAGUUAAGGCCAUACAAGAAUUACCUCCGCCAAGUACUCAAAAAGAAGUUCGGGGUUUCCUAGGAAGACUAAAUUACAUCGCUCGGUUCAUUUCACAAUUAACUGAGAAAUGUGACCCCAUAUUCCGUCUUCUUAGGAAACACAAUCCAGGUGUAUGGGAUGAGGAGUGCCAGGAAACUUUCGAAAGAGUUAAACAUUACUUGUCCAACGCCCCAGUACUGGUGCCACCUUGCCCUGACAAACCAUUGAUACUAUACUUGGCAGUAUUUGAGAAUUCCAUGGGGUGCGUGCUCGGCCAACAUGAUGAGUCAGGACGAAAAGAAAGAGCGAUCUAUUAUCUCAGUAAGAAGUUCACUGAAUGCGAAACGAGAUAUUCACCAAUUGAAAAAUUAUGUUGCGCAUUGGUUUGGACUACUCGGAGAUUGAGACAAUACAUGUUGUACCAUACGACUUGGUUAAUCUCAAAGUUAGACCCUCUGAAAUACAUGAUGGAGUCAACUGCUCUAAACGGAAGGAUGGCCCGAUGGCAAAUUCUACUAUCUGAAUUUGACAUAACCUAUGUGAAUCAAAAGGCUGUAAAAGGGAGCGCGAUAGCAGAUUUUCUAGCAAGUAGAGCCCUGGACGAUUAUGAGCCUUUGAACUUUGACUUCCCAAACGAGGAUCUGAUGUAUGUGGCAACUACUGAAGCGAGCACACAAGAAGGCAAUACUUGGAAAUUAAAUUUUGACGGAGCCUCAAAUGCCAUGGGCAACGGGAUUGGGGCAGUCUUGGUAUCUCCAAACGGUGAUCAUUAUCCUUUCACCAGUAAACUAGAUUUUGAUUGCACAAAUAACAUGGCGGAAUAUGAAGCAUGUAUCAUGGGAAUCCGUGCGGCUAUGGAACGCAAAAUCAAUGUACUUGAGGUAUAUGGGGAUUCGGCAUUGGUAAUUUAUCAGCUCAAAGGCGAAUGGGAAACAAGAGACCCUAAAUUGAUUAGUUACCGAAGGAUAGUCCUAGAAUUGAUUGAAGAAUUUGACGACAUCACUUUUUGUUAUCUCCCACGAGACGAGAAUCAGAUGGCCGACGCUUUAGCUACAUUGGCUUCCAUGAUCAAAGUAAACAGACCAGAGGAUGUGAAGCCUAUCCAAGUGAGCAUUUAUGAUGCUCCAGCCCACUGUUGUAAUAUUGAUGAGGAAGAAGAAAAGGACGACAACCCUUGGUAUCAGGACAUAUUGCGAUACGUAAAAAAUUGUGAAUACCCAAACCAAGCAACUGAGAAUGACAAGAGAAUGUUGAGGAGGCUGGCCAGUGGCUACGUCUUAGAUGGAGAAAUCCUGUACAAAAGAGGAAAAGAUCAGGUGCUGUUAAGAUGUGUAGACGCUGUAGAGGCCAAGCAGAUCUUGGAAGAAGUCCAUGAUGGUAUUUGUGGAACACACGCUAACGGUUUCACAAUGGCCAGACAGAUCAUGAGAUUUGGAUAUUAUUGGUCUACCAUGGAAGGAGACUGCAUCAAGUAUGCUAAGAAGUGCCAUAAAUGCCAGAUUUACGGAGAUAAAAUUCAUGUGCCUCCAUCACCUCUUCACGUCAUGACUUCCCCAUGGCCUUUCUCCAUGUGGGGCAUGGACGUCAUUGGGCCGAUAUCGCCAAAGGCUUCAAACGGACAUCGUUUCAUUUUUGUAGUGAUUGACUACUUUACUAAGUGGGUAGAGGCUACUUCUUACGCCAACGUCACAAAGACAGCUGUCAGCAAGUUUUUAAAGAAGGAAAUCAUAUGUCGGUAUGGAAUGCCUGAAAGGAUCAUAUCAGACAAUGCAUUAAAUUUGAAUAAUAGCACGAUAGCAGAGGUUUGUAAUCAAUUCAAGAUCAAGCACCACAACUCAUCGCCAUAUCGUCCGAAGAUAAAUGGUGCGGUGGAGGCAGCCAAUAAAAAUAUCAAAAAGAUUGUGGGAAAAAUGACUGAAACCUAUAGAGAUUGGCACGAGAAGUUGCCAUUCGCCCUCUAUGCUUAUCGAACGUCCGUCAGGACUUCUACCGGGGCAACACCAUUCUCUUUGGUUUAUGGAAUGGAGGCAGUGCUACCAAUUGAGGUUGAAAUUCCCUCUCUCCGAGUUUUUUCAGAACUAAAGUUAGACGAAGCAGAAUGGGUCCAAGCCCGAUAUGAUCAGCUGAACUUGAUUGAAGAAAGGAGGUUAAGAGCUAUCCGUCAUGGUCAAAUGUACCAGAAACGAAUGAUGCGAGCUUACAAUAAGAGAGUUCGUCCUAGAAACUUCCAUGAAGGGGACUUGGUACUGAAGAAGAUCCUUCCCAUACAAAAGGACUUCAGAGGAAAGUGGAUGCCAAACUGGGAGGGACCUUAUGUAGUAAAAAAGGCCUUUUCAGGAGGGGCAUUAAUUUUAACUGGGAUGGAUGGCAAAAGCUUGCCCAAUCCUGUGAAUUCGGAUUCAGUGAAGAGGUACUUUGCCUAAUAAAAAAAAAAAAAAGGAGAGGCCAAGGCGAAAACCCGCAAAGGGCACCUUGAGACCAAAGGGGCUUUGAAUUGAAAACCCAGGAAUGGGCAAUUCGAAUUUUCGAUCAAAGUUGAGGCAUAGAGUAGUUUUGUCUUCUCCGAAUUAACAAGAAGGAGAGAUGCUACACCUUGGGGCAUCAACAAAGUCUUUUAGGAUUUCUAAACACAGAGUUUGUGCGGAGAAGCUCACGCUGCGAUAUCUGGGGCACCUUUUUUUUAUCUUAUUUACAUCUUAGCAAAAUUUGCUAUUUGUUCAUUUAGAGCUCUGCUCUCAAUAAAUUCCAUCUUAUUCAUUGUGAUGAUCUUUUUCAUCAUUUAUCAGCAAAAUUUGCUAUCUUGAUUGAUUUGUUCAUUUCGAGCUUUGCUCUUAGCAAAAUUUUAUUUUGUCCAUUUUGAUAAUCUUUCAAGCAUUCUUCUUUGAAAUAACGAUUAAUGGAUUGACAAUACACAUGCAGAAGGAGUUCUGCAUAUUACUCUGAAAGUUUCUAAAUAACACGAGGACCUGAAACAGGACUGUUGUUUAGAGCUGACCAAACUUAAGGGUUAGAAGCAUUGGAGGAAGAAUAGUCCAAAUUAUAUCUAUUUCUUUAGGUUUUCUGUCAAAGGUACCGGCUGAACAAGAAGACAUCAGUGAUAGAACCUUGAUGAACAAUGAGGAAUGACAACCUAAGCAUUAAAAAUGGAUCAUUCUCAUGACAUUCUACAAAUAUAAUACAUACACAUCUAGUUAGGAGCAUUUGAUCCAUUCUGAUCAUGUCAUCCUAAACACUAGGCAUAAAUAGGUCCAUGAAAUGGAUUUUGCAGGUCAUGUUCCCCAGAGAACAGAUUAAAGAAACAAAUCCUAUACCCCUGAAGUUACAGUGGGAUAGAUUGAGAUCGAAGAAAGCAGAUCUUGUCUUCAUGUAUUGGCGUGAAGUAGAUCGAAGAUAUCAGAUCCUAUCUUCCUAUAUUGGUAGGAAGUGGAUCGAAGAUGCAGAUCUUGUCUUCCCAUAUUGGUGGCGAAGUAGAUCGAAGAAAGCAGAUCUUGUCUUCAUGCAUUAGCGUGAAGUAGAUCGAAGAAAGCAGAUCUUGUCUUCAUGCAUUGGCGUGAAGUAGAUCGAAGAUAUCAGAUCCUAUUUUCCUAUAUUGGUAGGAAGUGGAUCGAAGAUGCAGAUCUUGUCUUCCCAUAUUGGUGGCGAAGUAGAUCGAAGAAAGCAUAUCUUGUCUUCCCAUAUUGGUGGCGAAGUAGAUCGAAGAAAGCAGAUCUUGUCUUCAUGUAUUGGCGUGAAGUAGAUCGAAGAUAUCAGAUCCUAUCUUCCUAUAUUGGUAGGAAGUGGAUCGAAGAUACAGAUCUUGUCUUCCCAUAUUGGUGGCGAAGUAGAUCGAAGAAAGCAGAUCUUGUCUUCAUGCAUUAGCGUGAAGUAGAUCGAAGAAAGCAGAUCUUGUCUUCAUGUAUUGGCGUGAAGUAGAUCGAAGAUAUCAGAUCCUAUUUUCCUAUAUUGGUAGGAAGUGGAUCGAAGAUGCAGAUCUUGUCUUCCCAUAUUGGUGGCGAAGUAGAUCGAAGAAAGCAGAUCUUGUCUUCCCAUAUUGGUGGCGAAGUAGAUCGAAGAAAGCAGAUCUAGUCUUCAUGCAUUAGCGUGAAGUAGAUCGAAGAUGCAGAUCUUGUCUUCCCAUAUUGGUGGUGAAGUAGAUCGAAGAAAGCAGAUCUUGUCUUCAUGUAUUGGCGUGAAGUAGAUCGAAGAUAUCAGAUCCUAUCUUCCUAUAUUGGUAGGAAGUGGACCGACGAUGCAGAUUUUGUUUUCCCAUACUGGUGGUGAAGAAGAUCGAAGAAAGCAGAUCGACGAUGGCGGAUUUUACCUCCCUGACUACAGUGGAGUACAUCGAAGCCGAUAACUCUAUCUCCCUACAUUCAACAGUGGAAUAGAGUGAAGAGCACAAAUCUUAUCUCCCUAAGCAAUAGUGGAGCAGAUCGCAUCAAGUCUUAUCUCCCUAAGCAGUAGUGGAGCAGACUAAAAACACAAAUCUCAUCCCCGUAGAGUCAUAACAGAGUAGAUUGAAGCUUUGAUCUUAUCUUUAUGAAGUUACAUUGGAGUAGAUCGAAGCUACAAGGCAUAUGUCAGAAAAUGUAGUAGAUUGAAUCUAAAGCUACAAGAUGCAGUGGAUUGGAAGAAGAUUAUCUGAACCAGAAGAACACCAAUGAAGUCAAGACCCAGCAAGACCAGGCAAAAUUGGCCUUUCAUUAUGUCUUUGCUCCAUUCCCGUUACACGACAAUGAGCAAAGAGGGGCAGCUGUACAGGCUAAUUUUGGGCUAAACCCAAAACCCAACUAACCUAGCCCAAUACCCUAAACUACCUGAGCCCAAAUUUUAAAACCCUAACAGCCCAUCUGCUUAAAAGAUUUCAGCAGCAAGCCCUAGCUCCCACCUUGUCAGCCGCCGCUUCCCACCAUCGGCCAACCAUUGGCUACCUUGCGCACUACCCCCUCGUCCACCGCGCCCACUACCUGCAACAGAGACAGAAACAACAGCAAAAGGAAGCAUGCGAGGAAUGGGGGCAAAGAAUAAACAAAACAGAAACAAAAAAAAGGAGAAAUGAAUGUUUAUGGAUCGGCUUUAAAAAGCCAAAAUGAAGGAUGAGAAAAGAGGGCCUUUUUUUUUCUUUUCUCUUUACCGAGCAGUGUAAAAUUCGAAAAAUCUCAAAAAAAAUUUCAACAACCAAUAUACGAAAGCUAAAACCUCAUAAGUAGCAUAGAUCAAACAUCAAAAAGGAGAUUUAAACGUCCUAAAAUCAGAAACGUUACUAGCAAAUAGGGAAAGAAGAAGAGAACAACGGCAAAGUCAAGGUUCCUAAUAUUUUUUCAUUUCUUUUUAUUUUCAGAUUUACAUUCACCUAUAUAUGCAUAUAUAAUAAAAUACACACAAAAAAAAAGAAAUUUUUACCUAAGGCGAUUUCCGGCCACCGUGUACGGUGGCCGGCGCGGUGGAGCUACGACGGCGUGCGGUGGCUCUCCUGGCCGGUUUCUAGGCAUCCCCAGAGAGAAAAAUCCCUUUCUCCCUUUUUUUUUCCUAAGACUCAGCUGAAA
Molecule: long non-coding RNA, 16294 nt
Filed under: Gossypium barbadense (sea-island cotton)
Lineage: Eukaryota; Viridiplantae; Streptophyta; Magnoliopsida; Malvales; Malvaceae
Description: long non-coding RNA (GBAR_LNC019340)
Source: RNAcentral